RNAcentral lists this ribosomal RNA (429 nucleotides) under Gemmatimonadota bacterium. RNAcentral's name for it is "Gemmatimonadetes bacterium partial 16S ribosomal RNA". It matches the Rfam family "Bacterial small subunit ribosomal RNA", at positions 355 to 776 of the family's 1533-position model. The record is from RNAcentral. Lineage: Bacteria; Pseudomonadati; Gemmatimonadota.
UAGGGAAUCUUCGGCAAUGGACGAAAGUCUGACCGGGCAACGCCGCGUGAGUGAAGAAGGUUUUCGGAUCGUAAAACUCUGUUGUUAGAGAAGAACAAGGACGUUAGUAACUGAACGUCCCCUGACGGUAUCUAACCAGAAAGCCACGGCUAACUACGUGCCAGCAGCCGCGGUAAGACGUAGGUGGCAAGCGUUGUCCGGAUUUAUUGGGCGUAAAGCGAGCGCAGGCGGUUUCUUAAGUCUGAUGUGAAAGCCCCCGGCUCAACCGGGGAGGGUCAUUGGAAGCUGGGAGACUUGAGUGCAGAAGAGGAGGGUGGAAUUCCAUGUGUAGCGGUGAAAUGCGUAGAUAUAUGGAGGAAAACCAGUGGCGAAGGCGGCUCUCUGGUCUGUAACUGACGCUGAGGCUCGAAAGCGUGGGGAGCAAACAGG